UACGUAGGGUGCGAGCGUUGUCCGGAAUUAUUGGGCGUAAAGAGCUUGUAGGCGGUUUGUCGCGUCUGCUGUGAAAAUCCGGGGCUCAACCCCGGACUUGCAGUGGGUACGGGCAGACUAGAGUGUGGUAGGGGAGACUGGAAUUCCUGGUGUAGCGGUGAAAUGCGCAGAUAUCAGGAGGAACACCGGUGGCGAAGGCGGGUCUCUGGGCCGAUGACUGACGCUGAGGAGCGAAAGCGUGGGGAGCGAACAGG
Molecule: ribosomal RNA, 254 nt
Filed under: uncultured bacterium
Lineage: Bacteria
Description: partial 16S ribosomal RNA
Rfam family: Bacterial small subunit ribosomal RNA
Source: RNAcentral